Molecule: transfer RNA, 71 nt
Filed under: Marmota monax (woodchuck)
Lineage: Eukaryota; Metazoa; Chordata; Mammalia; Rodentia; Sciuridae
Description: tRNA.Ala
Rfam family: tRNA
About the family: Transfer RNA (tRNA) molecules are approximately 80 nucleotides in length. Their secondary structure includes four short double-helical elements and three loops (D, anti-codon, and T loops).
Source: RNAcentral
GGGGUUGUGGCUCAGUGGUAGAGCACGCACCUUGCAUAUGUGAGGCACUGGGUUUGAUCCCCAGCACCACA